Molecule: non-coding RNA, 73 nt
Organism: Camelus ferus (Wild Bactrian camel)
Lineage: Eukaryota; Metazoa; Chordata; Mammalia; Artiodactyla; Camelidae
Source: Rfam
GGAGGGGACAGCUCAGUGGUAGAGCACGUGCUUAGCAUGCAUGAGGUCCUGGGUUCAAUCCCUAGAACCUCCA